GAGUUUGAUUAUGGCUCAGGAUGAACGCUGGCGGCGUGCGUAACACAUGCAAGUUGGACGACGGUAUCAUGAAGUGGUAACACGGAGUGAUAUACGGAGUAGCGGACGGGUGAGUAUAACAUGAGAAGCUGUCCUGUCGAGGGGGAUAACGUUCGGAAACGGACCCUAAUACCCCAUAGGCCUUAGGGUUAAAGCAGCGAUGCGCGACAGGGGGUGCUCGUGACCUAUCAGCUGGUUGGUGAGGUAAUGGCUCACCAAGGCGACGACGGGUAGCCGGCCUGAGAGGGUGACCGGCCACACUGGAACUGAGAUACGGUCCAGACUCCUACGGGAGGCAGCAGUGGGGAAUAUUGGGCAAUGGGAGGAAUCCUGACCCAGCGACGCCGCGUGAACGAAGAAGGCCUUCGGGUCGUAAAAUUCUUUUAUGUGGGAAGAAGGAAGUGACGUACCACAUGAAUA
This 459-nucleotide ribosomal RNA is filed under the name Synergistales bacterium canine oral taxon 094. RNAcentral describes it as "bacterial SSU rRNA". It matches the Rfam family "Bacterial small subunit ribosomal RNA", at positions 9 to 488 of the family's 1533-position model. Lineage: Bacteria; Thermotogati; Synergistota; Synergistia; Synergistales. The record is from RNAcentral.